GCCGGGGUGGCGAAAACGGCGAGACGCGGCUGACUUAAAAUCAGCUGUCCCCGAAAGGGGGCGUGAGGGUUCGACUCCCUCCCCCGGCA
Molecule: transfer RNA, 89 nt
Filed under: Actinomycetota bacterium
Lineage: Bacteria; Bacillati; Actinomycetota
Description: Actinobacteria bacterium tRNA-Leu
Rfam family: tRNA
About the family: Transfer RNA (tRNA) molecules are approximately 80 nucleotides in length. Their secondary structure includes four short double-helical elements and three loops (D, anti-codon, and T loops). Further hydrogen bonds mediate the characteristic L-shaped molecular structure. tRNAs have two regions of fundamental functional importance: the anti-codon, which is responsible for specific mRNA codon recognition, and the 3' end, to which the tRNAs corresponding amino acid is attached (by aminoacyl-tRNA synthetases). tRNAs cope with the degeneracy of the genetic code in two manners: having more than one tRNA (with a specific anti-codon) for a particular amino acid; and 'wobble' base-pairing, i.e. permitting non-standard base-pairing at the 3rd anti-codon position.
Source: RNAcentral